UACAGAGGAUGCAAGCGUUAUCCGGAAUGAUUGGGCGUAAAGCGCUCGUAGGCGGUCUGUCGCGUCGGAUGUGAAAGCCCUCGGCUUAACCGAGGAAGUGCAUCCGAAACUGGCGAGCUUGAGUAUGGAAGAGGGUCUCGGAAUUCCCGGUGUAGAGGUGAAAUUCGUAGAUAUCGGGAGGAACACCAGUGGCGAAGGCGGAGACCUGGGCCAAUACUGACGCUGAGGUGCGAAAGCGUGGGGAGCAAACAGG
Molecule: ribosomal RNA, 253 nt
Filed under: uncultured bacterium
Lineage: Bacteria
Description: partial 16S ribosomal RNA
Rfam family: Bacterial small subunit ribosomal RNA
Source: RNAcentral